Molecule: ribosomal RNA, 252 nt
Filed under: uncultured Gardnerella sp.
Lineage: Bacteria; Bacillati; Actinomycetota; Actinomycetes; Bifidobacteriales; Bifidobacteriaceae
Description: partial 16S ribosomal RNA
Rfam family: Bacterial small subunit ribosomal RNA
Source: RNAcentral
CGGGUGAGUAAUGCGUGAACAACCUGCCCCAUGCUCCAGAAUAGCUCUUGGAAACGGGUGGUAAUGCUGGAUGCUCCAACUUGACGCAUGUCUUGUUGGGAAAGUGUUUAGUGGCAUGGGAUGGGGUCGCGUCCUAUCAGCUUGUAGGCGGGGUAAUGGCCCACCUAGGCUUCGACGGGUAGCCGGCCUGAGAGGGCGGACGGCCACAUUGGGACUGAGAUACGGCCCAGACUCCUACGGGAGGCAGCAGCG